AAGUGUGGCCAUGUCUGCUUGUCAGUUCCCAGUCUCAUCUGAUCUCGCACACUAAGCAAGGCCAGGCCUGGUCAGUACUUGGAGUACUGUAAUACAAUACGCUACAGUGG
RNAcentral lists this ribosomal RNA (110 nucleotides) under Periophthalmus magnuspinnatus. The record is from RNAcentral. Lineage: Eukaryota; Metazoa; Chordata; Actinopteri; Gobiiformes; Gobiidae.